RNAcentral lists this ribosomal RNA (511 nucleotides) under uncultured bacterium. RNAcentral describes it as "bacterial SSU rRNA". It matches the Rfam family "Bacterial small subunit ribosomal RNA", at positions 379 to 903 of the family's 1533-position model. The record is from RNAcentral.
CGAGCUGAGCGCGACGCCGCGUGGGGGAUGAAGGCCUUCGGGUUGUAACCCCUUUCAGCAGGGAAGAAGCGAAAGUGACGGUACCUGCAGAAGAAGCGCCGGCUAACUACGUGCCAGCAGCCGCGGUAAUACGUAGGGCGCAAGCGUUGUCCGGAAUUAUUGGGCGUAAAGAGCUCGUAGGCGGUUUGUCGCGUCUGCUGUGAAAUCCUGAGGCUCAACCUCGGGCUUGCAGUGGGUACGGGCAGACUAGAGUGCGGUAGGGGUGACUGGAAUUCCUGGUGUAGCGGUGGAAUGCGCAGAUAUCAGGAGGAACACCGAUGGCGAAGGCAGGUCACUGGGCCGCAACUGACGCUGAGGAGCGAAAGCAUGGGGAGCGAACAGGAUUAGAUACCCUGGUAGUCCAUGCCGUAAACGUUGGGCACUAGGUGUGGGGCUCAUUCCACGAGUUCCGUGCCGCAGCAAACGCAUUAAGUGCCCCGCCUGGGGAGUACGGCCGCAAGGCUAAAACUCA